AACGAACGCUGGCGGCAUGCCUAACACAUGCAAGUCGAACGAGACCUUCGGGUCUAGUGUCGCACGGGUGCGUAACGCGUGGGAACCUGCCCUUAGGUUCGGAAUAACUCCCCGAAAGGGGUGCUAAUACCGGGUAAUGCCUUCGGACCAAAGAUUUAUCGACUUUGGAUGGGCCCGCGUUGGAUUAGCUAGUUGGUAGGGUAAAAGCCUACCAAGGCGACGAUCCAUAGCUGGUCUGAGAGGAUGAUCAGCCACACUGGGACUGAGACACGGCCCAGACUCCUACGGGAGGCAGCAGUGGGGAAUAUUGGACAAUGGGCGAAAGCCUGAUCCAGCAAUGCCGCGUGAGUGAUGAAGGCCUUAGGGUUGUAAAGCUCUUUUACCCGGGAUGAUAAUGACAGUACCGGGAGAAUAAGCUCCGGCUAACUCCGUG
This 433-nucleotide ribosomal RNA is filed under the name uncultured bacterium. RNAcentral describes it as "partial 16S ribosomal RNA". It matches the Rfam family "Bacterial small subunit ribosomal RNA", at positions 29 to 507 of the family's 1533-position model. The record is from RNAcentral.